RNAcentral lists this unclassified non-coding RNA (433 nucleotides) under soil metagenome. RNAcentral describes it as "partial contains 5.8S ribosomal RNA, internal transcribed spacer 2, and large subunit ribosomal RNA". The stretch from base 1 to 120 matches the Rfam family "5.8S ribosomal RNA", at positions 35 to 154 of the family's 154-position model. The record is from RNAcentral.
GAUGAAGAACGCAGCGAAAUGCGAUACGUAAUGUGAAUUGCAGAAUUCAGUGAAUCAUCGAAUCUUUGAACGCAUAUUGCGCUCUCUGGUAUUCCGGAGAGCAUGCUUGUUUGAGUAUCAGUAAACACCUCAACUUCCAUAUCUUUUUUGAAAUGGGAGUUGGACUUGAGUGAUCCCAACGCUUUUCCUCACCGAAAAGUGGCGGGUUACUUGAAAUGCAGGUGCAGCUGGACUUUUCUCUGAGCUAUAAGCAUAUCUAUUUAGUCUGCCUAAAAAACAGAUUAUUACCUUUGCUGCAGCUAACAUAAAGGAGAUUAGUUCUUGUGCUGACUGAUGCAGGAUUCACAAAGACAGGCUUCGGCCGACUUUGUAAACUCGAUCUCAAAUCAAGUAAGACUACCCGCUGAUCUUAAGCAUAUCAAUAAGCGGAGGA